This 491-nucleotide ribosomal RNA is filed under the name uncultured bacterium. RNAcentral describes it as "partial 16S ribosomal RNA". It matches the Rfam family "Bacterial small subunit ribosomal RNA", at positions 30 to 506 of the family's 1533-position model. The record is from RNAcentral.
AUUGAACGCUGGCGGCAUGCUUUACACAUGCAAGUCGAACGGUAACAGGCCUUCGGGUGCUGCCGAGUGGCGAACGGGUGAGUAAUGCAUCGGAACGUGCCCAGAGGUGGGGGAUAACGCAGCGAAAGCUGUGCUAAUACCGCAUGUGAUCUGAGGAUGAAAGCGGGGGACCAAGCAGCAAUGUUUGGCCUCGCGCCUCUGGAGCGGCCGAUGUCAGAUUAGGUAGUUGGUGGGGUAAAGGCCUACCAAGCCGACGAUCUGUAGCUGGUCUGAGAGGACGACCAGCCACACUGGGACUGAGACACGGCCCAGACUCCUACGGGAGGCAGCAGUGGGGAAUUUUGGACAAUGGGCGCAAGCCUGAUCCAGCAAUGCCGCGGGCGGGAAGAAGGCCUUCGGGUUGUAAACCGCUUUUGUACGGAACGAAAAGGCUCUGGCUAAUACCUGGGGCUGAUGACGGUACCGUAAGAAUAAGCACCGGCUAACUACGU